Molecule: long non-coding RNA, 171 nt
Organism: Clarias gariepinus (North African catfish)
Lineage: Eukaryota; Metazoa; Chordata; Actinopteri; Siluriformes; Clariidae
Exons: 3
Source: RefSeq, a predicted model, not a curated record
GUUAUAAUUUUCACUAAAUUUUCAACUGCACACACUUACCAGUGAACUGUGUGUAAAUCAUCAACUGCCUGUGUAUCAGCUGAUUUCUACACCAGCUUUACAUCCUGAGCAGAAGAUUGUCGUGGAGAGGACGGACCCUUGAUGCUCUGCCUUUUUGCACCAACAAUACAU